RNAcentral lists this ribosomal RNA (292 nucleotides) under uncultured bacterium. RNAcentral describes it as "partial 16S ribosomal RNA". It matches the Rfam family "Bacterial small subunit ribosomal RNA", at positions 505 to 796 of the family's 1533-position model. The record is from RNAcentral.
GUGCCAGCAGCCGCGGUAAUACAGAGGUCUCGAGCGUUAAUCGGAAUUACUGGGCUUAAAGGGUGCGUAGGCGGUUCCGUAAGUGCCUUGUGAAAUCCCAUGGCUUAACCAUGGAAUUGCUCGGUAGACUGCGGGGCUUGAGGUCAGUAGGGGUCGCUGGAACUCUAGGUGGAGCGGUGAAAUGCGUAGAUAUCUAGAGGAACGCCAAAGGUGAAGACAGGCGACUGGGCUGAAUCUGACGCUGAGGCACGAAAGCGUGGGUAGCGAACGGGAUUAGAAACCCUCGUAGUCC